Molecule: long non-coding RNA, 1127 nt
Organism: Herpailurus yagouaroundi (jaguarundi)
Lineage: Eukaryota; Metazoa; Chordata; Mammalia; Carnivora; Felidae
Exons: 2
Source: RefSeq, a predicted model, not a curated record
CCUCCACUCAGGCCCACAGCCCAAGAUUCCAUAGUCCAAGAUUCCAGAAGAAGAAUCCAGGAUGGGAAGGGUGGGGUCAGAGGGAGAAUGCUGAAAGAAGGUUCUGGAAGAUGUCUUCUUUGGGGCUGGAUGUGUCUUCACACGCUGCCAACCUGCAAGUCCAAACUCGACUGUGACUUUGCUGUGGGCCCAAGUGUCAGCAGUCGAUCUGUUAUCAGUUGAUGGCGGGCUCGUUUCUCAGAAGCCAGGCGCGCGCGCACGUGCCGGAGCCCCAUUCUCUGGUGUGGAUCAUGUCUGCAUCGGUUCUGGAAUAAUACUUUCAGGAGCACUGUUUCCAUUCCCAGUGAGUCGUGACCGUGCCUGGGUCUCAGUCCUCGUGCUUUUUCCUGAGCGAUGCCUCGCGUUCCGAAGCCGCGCAGGUUGUAACAGAAUGAGGGUGUGGGAUUCGAGAAACGUCCGGACCUGAGCAACCCCCACCCCCACCGAGUUUCCCCGAGCCCCAGAGACAGCCAGCCCCCCUCCGCCCGCCCGGGACAGCGCUGCCAGUCUGGGCGUCCCGUGGCCACCGUGUCAUGUGUCCCGGGAGUGGAGAGGGGUGGCCAACAGGCUGAGUCGGCGGCAGACCUUCGCCCUCCUGCAGGGAACAACUCUGGUGACUGAAAAGUAACCCCGUGUACCCACCGUGCUUGUGGGCAUUGAAACCCCCAGGCUCUCUGCCAGGGUCAGCGUGUUGGGGACUUUGGGCCGGUUUUGUACACGCUGAACAUCAGUCCGGGGGCCGCUUUGGUUUUAUGUUGUUUUGUGGGAAGAUUUUGGUUUUGAAGUGAUCUCCGCGCCCGGCGUGGGGCUGGCACUCCCCACCCAGAGGUCCGGGGUCCCAAGCUUCACGGAGCCAGCCAGGCGCCCCGCGGGGCUGCUUUGGUUUUGUGAGUGAGCCUUCCAAGGAGGAGAAAGACACUGUUCAAAUCUGACUCUUUCUUAAGCGGUGAAUCCACUGGAAACUUACACUUCUAUUUCUGGAUAGAAUACAUUUCCCCAACCCCAUCACCGCGGAGGGAAGCAUUUUCUGUCAUGCUUGCUUCCAUUGAUAAACUGAGGUCGUUAAACUCUCUUACGUAUUUUCAGCC